AGGACGAACGCUGGCGGCGUGCCUAACACAUGCAAGUGGAGCGACGAACCAGGCUUCGGCCUGGGGCAAAGCCGCGAACGGGUGAGUAACACGUGGGUAACCUGCCCCGAUGAUCGGGACAACCCGAGGAAACUCGGGCUAAUACCGAAUGUGCCCUCCGACCAUAAGGUCGCUGGGGAAAGGAAGCUUCGGCCUCCGCAUCGGGAUGGGCCCGCGGCCCAUUAGCUUGUUGGUGAGGUAACGGCUCACCAAGGCUGCGAUGGGUAGCUGGUCUGAGAGGACGACCAGCCACACUGGAACUGAGACACGGUCCAGACACCUACGGGUGGCAGCAGUCGAGAAUUUUUCUCAAUGGGGGCAACCCUGAAGGAGCGACGCCGCGUGGAGGAUGAAGGCUUUCGGGUUGUAAACUCCUGUCAUUUGGGAACAAGCCUUACGUUAACUGCGUGGAGGUUUGAUAGUACCGAAAGAGGAAGAGACGGCUAACUCUGCGCAGCAGCCGCGGU
RNAcentral lists this ribosomal RNA (506 nucleotides) under uncultured bacterium. Its description in RNAcentral is "SSU rRNA". It matches the Rfam family "Bacterial small subunit ribosomal RNA", at positions 26 to 521 of the family's 1533-position model. The record is from RNAcentral.